GGUCAAAAUCAUUAACUUUUUGCUUCUCAAAAUCACUAGGACCCUCUUCUAAUAUAAUGUUGGGCUUUCUUCAAGUACCACACAAGAAGACAUCCCAGGGACAUCUGGAUCCCCAGCUAUUUCAUUUUACAUCUUGGUAUUACCCUCACUCCUCAGAGCUGAGUUCUAAGUCCAGUCACUUACUGAAAAUAUGACUUCCCAGGGACCUUCAGACUUGGACAAAAUCUUGCCUGCUCCCUAUGGAUGGUGUUUCCAGAGAAGAUUGGCACAAGGGACAGCAAACUGAUACAGGAGACCCACCCUGGAUGUGGGUACCUCCACAUGGGUGGAACAAAGGGGCCUGGAUGGAACAAAGCAGAAGGAAGAGACAG
Molecule: long non-coding RNA, 371 nt
Organism: Heterocephalus glaber (naked mole-rat)
Lineage: Eukaryota; Metazoa; Chordata; Mammalia; Rodentia; Bathyergidae
Source: Ensembl